CCUACGGGUGGCAGCAGUGGGGAAUAUUGCACAAUGGGGGCUACCCUGAUGCAGCAAAGCCGCGUGAAGGAUGACUGUUUUCUGGUUGUAAACCUCUGUUCUUAUUGAAGAAUAAUGACGUUAGCUAACUAGCUAGCCACGGCUAACUACGUGCCAGCAGCCGCGGUAAUACGUAGGUGGCAAGCGUUGUCCGGAAUUACGGGGUGUAAAGGGAGCGCAGGCGGGUAGCUAAGUCAGCUGUGAAAGUUACGGGCUCAACUUGUAGACUGCAGUUGAAACUGGCAUUCUUGAGUGAAGUAGAGGUAGGCGGAAUUCGGAGUGUAGCGGUGAAAUGCGUAGAUAUUAGGAGGAACACCGAUGGCGAAGGCGGCCAACUGGGCUGUAACUGACGCUGAGGCUCGAAAGUGUGGGGAGCAAACAGGAUUAGAUACCCGGGUAGUC
Molecule: ribosomal RNA, 441 nt
Filed under: uncultured bacterium
Lineage: Bacteria
Description: partial 16S ribosomal RNA
Rfam family: Bacterial small subunit ribosomal RNA
Source: RNAcentral